GAGAUCUGGGGUUGGAGACCCUGCUAUAAACACUAUGGAAUUAAUAUAAGCUGGAAAAUUAAGUUUUCUCAAGGUGCUCCUCAUAGACAACAGCAGCAUGACAAGGGGGAACAUAGGACUGAGGAGCAGCAGGAACUCCAUGAGUAAGGCAGACAGAACAUCAGCUGGGAGUGGCAGUGACUGUUAAACAGUACAGCAACAAAGACACUAUGACAGACUGUGCACACUUCAUUCAUGACCUUAAUUAUCACUUUUAUUUCAAGCUAGCUUAAGAUUUCAUCCCUGCAUCAACAGAACGUCUUCUUUGAAUGGUGAAAUGGAUGGAGAGUCCAAGAGAGGCAACUUAAUGGAAGAGAGCUCAAAUAUGAGCAUGAUGAGAGUUUGAGAUGAAUGACUUUAAAAGCACUGAUGAGACUGAAAAUGUGAGCGAUGUGGAAGAUGAAGAAAUAAAUGUCUCUAAGGACCAAAA
This is a long non-coding RNA of Oreochromis niloticus (Nile tilapia), 469 nucleotides long. RefSeq lists it as uncharacterized. The record is from RefSeq and is a predicted model, not a curated record. NCBI's taxonomy places the organism in Eukaryota, Metazoa, Chordata, Actinopteri, Cichliformes, Cichlidae. The transcript has 2 exons.